UAAUACGGCCAUACAACCCUGAAUGCGUCAAUCUUGGAAACUAAGCAGGAUCGAGCCUGUUUAGUACUUAGAUGGGAGACCGUCUGGGAAUACUGGGUGCUGUAGGCU
RNAcentral lists this ribosomal RNA (108 nucleotides) under Dasypus novemcinctus (nine-banded armadillo). The record is from RNAcentral. Lineage: Eukaryota; Metazoa; Chordata; Mammalia; Cingulata; Dasypodidae.